AGUGAACGCUGGCGGCGUGCUUAAUACAUGCAAGUCGAACGAUGAAGUCCUAGCUUGCUAGGAUGGAUUAGUGGCGCACGGGUGAGUAAUAUAUAGUUAAUCUGCCUUGCACUGAGGAACAACAGUUGGAAACGAUUGCUAAUACCUCAUACUCCAACUUUACAUAAGUUAAGUUGGGAAAGUCUUUUCGGUGCAAGAUGAGACUAUAUCGUAUCAGCUAGUUGGUAAGGUAAUGGCUUACCAAGGCUAUGACGCGUAACUGGUCUGAGAGGAUGAUCAGUCACAUUGGAACUGAGACACGGUCCAAACUCCUACGGGAGGCAGCAGGAAGGAAUAUUGUGCAAUGGGGGAAACCCUGACGCAGCAACGCCGCGUGGAGGAUGACACUUUUCGGAGCGUAAACUCCUUUUGUUAGGGAAGAAUAAUGACGGUACCUAACGAAUAAGCACCGGCUAACUCCGUG
This 463-nucleotide ribosomal RNA is filed under the name uncultured bacterium. Its description in RNAcentral is "partial 16S ribosomal RNA". It matches the Rfam family "Bacterial small subunit ribosomal RNA", at positions 29 to 507 of the family's 1533-position model. The record is from RNAcentral.